GGGCUUGACAUCCCACGAACCUGCCUGAAAGGGUAGGCUGCCCGCAAGGGUAUGUGGAGACGGGUGGUGCAUGGCUGUCGUCAGCUCGUGUCGUGAGAUGUUGGGUUAAGUCCCGCAACGAGCGCAACCCUCACCCCCAGUUGCCACCGGGUACAGCCGAGGACUCGGGGGGAACUGCCCCCGUCAAGCUGAAGGAAGGCGGGGAUGACGUCAAGUCAUCAUGCCCCUUACGUCCUGGGCUACACACGUGCUACAAUGGCCAAUACAAAAGAAUGCGAGACCGCGUUGUGGAGCUGAUCCCAAUAAGUUGGUCUAAGUUCAGAUUGCAGUCUGCAACUCGCCUGCAGGAAAGAGGAAUCGCUAGUAAUCGCGCAUCAUCCCGGCGCGCUGAAUACGUUCCCGGGCCUUGUACACGCCGCCCGUCACACUACGAAAGCUUACUGUACUCGAAGUCGCUGAG
RNAcentral lists this ribosomal RNA (460 nucleotides) under uncultured Methylomirabilota bacterium. RNAcentral describes it as "bacterial SSU rRNA". It matches the Rfam family "Bacterial small subunit ribosomal RNA", at positions 977 to 1434 of the family's 1533-position model. The record is from RNAcentral. Lineage: Bacteria; Methylomirabilota (SeqCode).